UACGGAGGAUGCGAGCGUUAUCUGGAUUUAUUGGGUUUAAAGGGUGCGUAGGCGGCUUUUUAAGUCAGCGGUGAAAUUUUGCAGCUUAACUGUAACAGUGCCGUUGAUACUGGGGAGCUAGGAUUUGGUUGCUGUGGGUGGAAUGUGUGGUGUAGCGGUGAAAUGCUUAGAGAUCACACAGAAUAUCGAUUGCGAAGGCAGCUCACAAAGCCAAGAUUGACGCUGAGGCACGAAAGUGUGGGGAUCAAAACAGGA
This 255-nucleotide ribosomal RNA is filed under the name uncultured prokaryote. Its description in RNAcentral is "partial 16S ribosomal RNA". It matches the Rfam family "Bacterial small subunit ribosomal RNA", at positions 524 to 777 of the family's 1533-position model. The record is from RNAcentral.